This 480-nucleotide ribosomal RNA is filed under the name Bacillus sp. HA-OP29. RNAcentral's name for it is "bacterial SSU rRNA". It matches the Rfam family "Bacterial small subunit ribosomal RNA", at positions 971 to 1464 of the family's 1533-position model. The record is from RNAcentral. Lineage: Bacteria; Bacillati; Bacillota; Bacilli; Caryophanales; Bacillaceae.
UUACAGGUAUUGAAUCCUCUGACAACCCUAGAGAUAGGGCUUCUCCUUCGGAGCAGAGUGACAGGUGGUGAUGGUGUCGUCAGCUCGUGUCGUGAGUGUUGGGUUAAGUCCCGCAACGAGCGCAACCCUUGAUCUUAGUUGCCAUCAUUCAGUUGGGCACUCUAAGGUGACUGCCGGCGACAAACCGGGGGAAGGGGGGAUGACGUCAAAUCAUCAUGCCCCUUAUGACCUGGGCUACACACGUGCUACAAUGGACGGUACAAAGAGCUGCAAGACCGCGAGUGGGCGCUAAUCUCAUAAAACCGUUCUCAGUUCGGAUUGUAGGCUGCAACUCGCCUACAUGAAGCUGGAAUCGCUAGUAAUCGCGGAUCAGCAUGCCGCGGGGAAUACAUUCCCGGGCCUUGUACACACCGCCCGUCACACCACGAGAGUUUGUAACACCCGAAGUCGGGGGGUACCUUUUGGGGCAGCCCUAAGGGG